CCUACGGGAGGCAGCAGUGGGGAAUAUUGCACAAUGGGCGAAAGCCUGAUGCAGCGACGCCGCGUGAGGGAUGACGGCCUUCAGGUUGUAAACCUCUUUCAGCAGGGAAGAAGCGAAAGUGACGGUACCUGCAGAAGAAGCGCCGGCUAACUACGUGCCAGCAGCCGCGGUAAUACAUAGGGCGCAAGCGUUGUCCGGAAUUAUUGGGCGUAAAGAGCUCGUAGGCGGCUUGUCACGUCGGGUGUGAAAGCCCGGGGCUUAACCCCGGGUCUGCAUUCGAUACGGGCUAGCUAGAGUGUGGUAGGGGAGAUCGGAAUUCCUGGUGUAGCGGUGAAAUGCGCAGAUAUCAGGAGGAACACCGGUGGCGAAGGCGGAUCUCUGGGCCAUUACUGACGCUGAGGAGCGAAAGCGUGGGGAGCGAACAGGAUUAGAUACCCUGGUAGUCCACGCCGUAAACGGUGGGAACUAGGUGUUGGCGACAUUCCACGUCGUCGGUGCCGCAGCUAACGCAUUAAGUUCCCCGCCUGGGGAGUACGGCCGCAAGGCUAAAACUCAAAGGAAAUUGACGG
RNAcentral lists this ribosomal RNA (569 nucleotides) under uncultured bacterium. RNAcentral describes it as "bacterial SSU rRNA". It matches the Rfam family "Bacterial small subunit ribosomal RNA", at positions 338 to 916 of the family's 1533-position model. The record is from RNAcentral.